Molecule: small nuclear RNA, 102 nt
Organism: Pangasianodon hypophthalmus (striped catfish)
Lineage: Eukaryota; Metazoa; Chordata; Actinopteri; Siluriformes; Pangasiidae
Source: RefSeq, a predicted model, not a curated record
AGCAAGGUGCUUGCUACGGCAGCACACUGGAACGAUACAGAGAAGAUUAGUGUUGCCCUGCACAAGUAUGACACCCAAAAUCGUGAAGCACAUCUCUCUAAU